Molecule: long non-coding RNA, 686 nt
Organism: Rhipicephalus microplus (southern cattle tick)
Lineage: Eukaryota; Metazoa; Arthropoda; Arachnida; Ixodida; Ixodidae
Source: RefSeq, a predicted model, not a curated record
UCGUCUAGUCGACGUUCAUGACUCCACCUUCUCGGAGGAGUCACCAUCUGCCGAGGAGCCCUCCUGGGUCUCAACAAAUGGUAUUCCAGAAGCGGCUAAAGACGUCGUUGCCUGCCCAUUCUAUCAGUGUGCCCUCGAAGACAUCUUCCCCGACAACCGGGACACUGAAGCCAAGCGAGAUGAUAAGGUCGACCAGCUACUCCAGUGCGGCUUCCUCUAUGGCAAGGGCAGCAAGCAAGCCUUACACCACAAGCGACGAAAACGCCCCGCAAGAAGCCCUGAGUGACAUGGCACUGUAAAGCAGCACAGGAUGGCGGCAAACAGACAGCAAAGUGGCUCAAAACAUUCGAAGACUCGAACCAGCAUGAGUAUCGCUCCCCUGGGCGUGAAAGACGGCACAUUCGCUUUGGAGCAGCGCGGCCUCAGCGUAUCGCCCUUUGGGUGGGGAUUUGAAGCCCGGGCUUGUUAAUGGGCUCUCACACGAAGCUGUUGGUUGCCGAGGUUGUCCGGGAUUGAGCAGCUUGGCAGCCUUCACGCAGAUAGCCUUCGGGCAAUCCAACAUAAUCCCACUGCCUGUCACGUAACAAGCUCUUGUGCAUUUUAGCGCACUUGUAUAUAUGUUACUUAAAAUAUUAUUUAUGAUUGUAAUAUUGUUUCUUUUGUUGCAAAUAAAAUAAUUGUUGGUG